RNAcentral lists this long non-coding RNA (555 nucleotides) under Medicago truncatula (barrel medic). RNAcentral's name for it is "long non-coding RNA (MTRU_LNC006403)". Lineage: Eukaryota; Viridiplantae; Streptophyta; Magnoliopsida; Fabales; Fabaceae. The record is from RNAcentral.
CCCAUCCCCUAAAAUUCAACCACCACCACAUCCACCCAAAAAAGCACCUGUUUCUCUACCACCAUUAUCUAUACCACCUGUUUCACUUCCACCAUUACCAUUACCACCAGCUUCUAAACCACCAAAGGUAUCCCCAGCACCUGCAAAGGUUCCAAAAGCACCAGCACCGGCCAAAGAAGCACCAGCACCAGCACCUACACACAAAAAGAAAGCACCAGCACCCGCACCAGACAAAGAAACACCGGCACCAGCACCUACACACAAAAAGAAGAAAGCACCAAAAUCAUCACCUGUUCCUUCCCCAGCAAUUCUCCCACCAUCACCUGCACCAACACCUGCAAUAGACACACCAUCAUCAGCACCAGCACCAUCGCCUGAAGAUGAUGCGCCAGAACCACCGCCACCCCACAAGCACAAGAGAAGAAAACACAAGCAUAGUAAGCAUAAGAAACAUCACGCACUAGCUCUAGCACCAGAGCCUACAAGUUCAAGUUCAACAAUCAUUAGGAGGAGUCCCCCAGCACCACUGGCUGAUGAUAAUACUACAAUGAGUUC